Molecule: ribosomal RNA, 393 nt
Filed under: uncultured bacterium
Lineage: Bacteria
Description: partial 16S ribosomal RNA
Rfam family: Bacterial small subunit ribosomal RNA
Source: RNAcentral
AUACGGAGGAUGCAAGCGUUAUCCGGAUUUAUUGGGUUUAAAGGGUGCGUAGGCGGUUUGCUAAGCGGGAGGUGAAAUGCCGGCGCUCAACGGCGGAAGUGCCUCCCGAACUGGUGGACUGGAAUGACUCUGCCGUGGGAGGAAUGUGUAGUGUAGCGGUUAAAUGCUUAGAGAUUACACAGAACACCGAUUGCGAAGGCAUCUCACGAAGGGUUGAUUGACGCUGAGGCACGAAAGCGUGGGGAUCAAACAGGAUUAGAUACCCUGGUAGUCCACGCAGUAAACGAUGAUGGCUAACCGCUGGUUUUUUCGGAUCAGUGGCCAAGCGAAAGCGAUAAGCCAUCCACCUGGGGAGUACGACCGCAAGGUUGAAACUCAAAUGAAUUGACGGGG